RNAcentral lists this ribosomal RNA (495 nucleotides) under uncultured bacterium. Its description in RNAcentral is "partial 16S ribosomal RNA". It matches the Rfam family "Bacterial small subunit ribosomal RNA", at positions 28 to 507 of the family's 1533-position model. The record is from RNAcentral.
GACGAACGCUGGCGGCGUGCCUAAUACAUGCAAGUAGAACGCUGAAGGAGGAGCUUGCUUCUCUGGAUGAGUUGCGAACGGGUGAGUAACGCGUAGGUAACCUGCCUGGUAGCGGGGGAUAACUAUUGGAAACGAUAGCUAAUACCGCAUAAGAGUAGAUGUUGCAUGACAUUUUCUUAAAAGGUGCAAUUGCAUCACUACCAGAUGGACCUGCGUUGUAUUAGCUAGUUGGUGAGGUAACGUCUCACCAAGGCAACGAUACAUAUCCGACCUGAGAGGGUGAUAGGCCACACUGGGACUGAGACACGGCCCAGACUCCUACGGGAGGCAGCAGUAGGGAAUCUUCGGCAAUGGACGGAAGUCUGAACGAGCAACGCCGCGUGAGUGAAGAAGGUUUUCGGAUCGUAAAGCUCUGUUGUAAGAGAAGAACGAGUGUGAGAGUGGAAAGUUCACACUGUGACGGUAUCUUACCAGAAAGGGACGGCUAACUACGUG